AGAGUUUGAUCCUGGCUCAGAAAAAACGCUGGCGGUAUGCUUAACACAUGCAAGUCGAACGGUAACAUGAAAAAGCUUGCUUUUUUGAUGACGAGUGGCGGACGGGUGAGUAACACGUAGGAAUCUACCGAGUAGCGGGGGAUAGCCCGGAGAAAUCCGGAUUAAUACCGCAUGUGCACUUCGGUGUAAAGAGGGCCUCUUCUUGAAAGCUCUCACUAUUCGAUGAGCCUGCGUCAGAUUAGCUUGUUGGUGGGGUAAUGGCCUACCAAGGCGACGAUCUGUAGCUGGUCUGAGAGGAUGAUCAGCCACACUGGGACUGAGACACGGCCCAGACUCCUACGGGAGGCAGCAGUGGGGAAUAUUGGACAAUGGGCGCAAGCCUGAUCCAGCAAUACCGCGUGUGUGAAGAAGGCCUUCGGGUUGUAAAGCACUUUCAAUAGGGAGGAAGGCUUGAUGGUUAAUACCCAUUGAGAUUGACGUUACCUAUAGAAGAAGCACCGGCUAACUCCGUGCCAGCAGCCGCGGUAAUACGGAGGGUGCAAGUGUUAAUCGGAAUUACUGGGCGUAAAGCGCGCGUAGGCGGAUGAUUAAGUCAGAUGUGAAAGCCCCGGGCUCAACCUGGGAACUGCAUUUGAGACUGGUCGUCUAGAGUACAGAAGAGGGGGGUGGAAAUUCCAGGUGUAGCGGUGAAAUGCGUAGAGAUCUGGAGGAACAUCAGUGGCGAAGGCGACCCCCUGGCUGAUACUGACGCUGAGUGCGAAAGCGUGGGUAGCGACAGGAUUAGAUACCCUGUAGUCCACGCCGUAAACGAUGUCUAUUCAGCUGUUGGGUAUAUUAAGA
RNAcentral lists this ribosomal RNA (840 nucleotides) under uncultured bacterium. Its description in RNAcentral is "bacterial SSU rRNA". It matches the Rfam family "Bacterial small subunit ribosomal RNA", at positions 8 to 836 of the family's 1533-position model. The record is from RNAcentral.